AGCCUCCCUCACGCCUCUGAGGGCAUGGCUUCCUGCUCUUAGGCGGCGUUUCGCUUCCAACGCGGCCCUUAAUUGCCUUCUGCAAGGGCAUCCCCUCCACAAAGGCUUGCCGGGCGUCAAUUAUCGACCUUACAUGGAAUUUUUGAUCUCGUGGCCGUUUUGCGGCGAGUCAGCUUAAUUAGUCCUAACAGCCAGCCUCAUCUCUAGGCUGUGCUUGUCGCAUUAGUGAGAGUCCUGGGGACUGGAUCACUGAGUCAGCGCUUCCUGAUGUCAUCCAAAGUCUUCGCUUCAUACAUUUCAGAUGAGGCUCGAAGCCUGCUGGCUUCUCUCUCUUCUGAUCUAUUUUUAAUUAGCAGUCUGGGGCCUUUGCUGUCAGAGCCGCGGAAGGUGCUCUCGGUGGCACAGCCUCGUGUGUGUUUGUGUGGGGAUGUUGGUGCCGGCACAGGGCUCUAACACGUUGUCCAGGCAACCGUGAACUGCAGAGCGAGGAGCGGGAGCCCACGGACGGCUCCUGGGAAGAGACUGGAUGCUCCAGCACAAGAUGCCAGGAUACCCAACUGGAAUGGCAGAAUGCCUACAGAAGGAGGACAGGGAGCCAGUAAUGGGAAACUUGUUACUUUUUGAUGAAUUGGCUUCAGAUCAUGCCAGAAGGACAGUUGUUUUCACUGUCCGCAAAAUCUGUGCAAAGUGUUCAGGAGAACUGCAAGCUGUCAGAAUAAGCCCUCCCAAAAUGAACUGCUUCAGGGUGUGUAGCAUCUUGGAUGGGAACCCUUAGGCCAGGAUCCAAACAAAAACAGAAUGGAAAGACAGUCCUUGCUCCAAAGGAGCUUACAGUGAGACAAGAGACAACAAAUGACAAUUAUACACAGUGGCGAGAAUCAAAAGGGUUAAUCUGAAGGAGAAUAUUUAAAAGACUGGAAAUUCACUUGCAUACCACAGCUUCUUGAAGCCAAGAAAGAAUUAAACAAGAUGAUCAACAGUGAUACUGAGAAUUUCUUGGUGUCCUUUAGCCCAGAAGAGACACGAUCUUCAAUUGCACGUCCCCAGAGUGAUGAGGGAAACCUGCAGCACAGUAUGGAAGUACAUGGCAUUCCUUAUUUUUUCUGGACUGAAAAUAAGCAGGUUUAUUCAUAUAGAUCUGAGGGUUUUUUAACCAUUGUGGAGGAAGAAACGUGUCCUGAGUCUAAAUUUCACCAAGUCCCAAGUAAUUGACACUGAAUGGAGACAACGUGAUACCAAAUCCUCAGGAUUGCUCUCGGAGUCAGUGGCACUCACUCUUCCUGCUCUGGUGUCCUGGCACCAGCAGCUCCUGUGCAGCAGGAUCCUCACUGCCCUCUCAGUCCCUGCACAAAGCAAUCUCCCAUCUCUAAAACCAGAAGGUCAGAAAGGAGUCCUCAUCCCUCUCCUGUUCUCAGUUUUGACUGAAAGUUUCAGACGUGGGGAUUAAGAUACAGAAAUCCCAGUACUGACACUGACACCACAUUUACAGGAUCUAAGGCAGGGCCAGUCUGCAAGGCACUGUGACAUAUAGGGACAGCAAAGCAGGGGAAUGAAUGCAUUACCCUGGAGCUUCCUGAGAAGAGUCAUGGUAAUAAUGGUGACGUCCUUACAACCACGCAUAUCUGUUUCCUUGGGGAACCAGGCAGCUAGGAGUAAAACUUCACCAUGUAGCUGACAACACACAGGGAGCAAUCCCGAGCCCAAACUUCCUAAAUCCAACAGUUUUGAUCAUCACAAUGGUUGUCACUGGAGAAGGUGGGAGACAGACCAUGGCAAGGGCUAGGGGACACUGUUUCAGCCUUGCCAAGUGUUGUCACAGGCCAUGUGUAUCUCGUGCUGUCAACACAAAUCCAGUGCAUUACAAGGCUCUGGGUUAGACACAAGUCCAGGACAAAGAGAGACUGAUCAGGUCAUCUGAUGCUGAUGCCUCUUCUGUGAUCUCAUUACUGGCAUCUGUCAACACCAUACUCUGGGAAGUCCCUCACUGAUUAAAGGUCUCCACUCCCAUCACCCUUCCCAGGCCAGAGGUGGGGAAUCCAGCCUCCCCAGACUGGUUUCCUUGUUUAGUCCCCUACUGCAGUAGAAGAGGCUUUGCCCCCACAAGGGAGCACUGAAGGGAGCCUGGGUGGCUCUCCUUAGGUUGAGGAGCUCCUCAGCAACUCCUAAACCAGGGAGAACUAAAAAAAAAUGGCAUCUCCAGUUGGAGACAAGCACUUGGCCUCACAGGCAGGCAGGAUGCUCUGCUACUGACAUGUAGGGUCCAAGUCUGAUCCAGCUGAAACUCUCUUUUAACUGGCUUAAAGAAAAGGUUGUAGUUAAUAUAGAUAUAGAUAUAGCUAUUUUUAUUGUAGAUAAAAAGUUAUAUGUAACUUUGCCAAUGUGGAAAAGUAAACAUGACUUUGCCCAUUUUUUUCUCUCUGCUUUUAAUAUUCAGCAUUUUUAUUCUCUCAGACUCUUGGAAGAAGAGGAGUGGUUGUCCUGCGUCGUGUCUCCAGCGUUUUGUGACGCAUCUUCUGUAGCAUAUUUGGGCCUCCUUGGAGGAAACCUAUCACAUGAAGGAAACCACCUCAGACAGGGCUUUCAGAAAGACAGAUGUGUCACUGUUGAUGUCAUUUUAAUAAAUAGUCCCUUCUCUUCCUAGUCCCAAGGAAGAGCACUUUCCUAGAUGGGAAAGCAGCUUUCAGUGUCACAAGCAGAAGAUCCGAAAUUAGCUGAGGGGUUUGAAGUAUUUGCCAGCAGUGCUCAAGCAGCAUUACCUCCUGGCAGGGUGCCUGGGCCCUCUCUGUCCCUGCUGGAGAGCCACAGCUGGCAGUGGCUGUUAACCCUUGAGGCCAUCCCCAAUCCCCCCACCAGCAUGGGAUGUGAUGGGGGACCUUGGCUUGAGAGGUGGGCCAGUAUAAACCUCCUCAAGUUCAACAAAGCAAAGUGCAAGGUCUUGCAUCUGGGUCAUGGGAAUUCAAAGCUGAUAAGAGGACUGGAGCAGCUCUCCUGCAAAGACAGGCUGAGAAAGUUGGGGGCUGCUCAGCUUGGAGAAGAGGAGGUUGCAUGGAGAUCUCAUAGGAACCUUCCAGUACCUGAACAAGGCCUGCAGGGAAGCCAGAGUGGGACUUUCCAUCAGAAACUGUAGUGAUAGGACAAGGAGUAAUGGAUUAAAAUUGAAAGAGGGGAAGUUUAGAUUAGACAUUAGGAAGAAACCACUUAACAUUCUAUGACUCUGUGUCCUCAGUCAAAGCCAAACCUGCCCAAGGAGCUCUGUGGAACAGCCAGCAGCUGUGUGAGAGAGGAGCCCACAGACCUGCCAGGUCCCAAGAGGCCACGCCAGAACUACACAUUCCUGCUGCAGUCAGAGAGACCCCAGAGGAGAAGCAUUCUGUGAUGCAUUACGUGCUUUAGAGAUGCACUCCAGGGAAUUUGUCAUCCCAAAGACUUUAGCAUUCAGGAGGAACUUAUAAGUACUGCUGGGAUCUCAGCUUCACUUGAUUCUUUUUUUUAAGGAUUCUCUGAAAUCCUCUUUUUAAGGAGGAUUCUCUGCAAGCAGGAUAACUUGAGUCAUUGAGUACAUCCUCAACAGCAACUAGAGAUUGAAGGAGCAGUGGGAAUACCUUUAUUUCUCCCCUUGCAGGGAUAGGGUUGGGAUCCCUUCUCUCCAGCUGCCUUGGCUCAGUCACUGUUCCUGUCCCCAUCUGGGACCAUGACUCUUGUGCCUGGCAGGACACAGGGCCUGACUGCCAUGCACAGACUUCCUCCCUGCUUCGUCUCCCGUUCACCAUUCAAUAAUGCUAAAUAUUAACUCAUCCCAGGAACUGAUUUUAUUCCAUGCUUGACUUCACAUCCCAGACCCAGGAGAAACUCUGCAGGUCUCAGAGCUCAUCAGAAAUCCAUGAUCCUUUCAGAUGCCUAAUAACAAAAAUUACUGCCUCUGUCUUUUUCCCUGACCAGACAUUUUCCUCAUGCACCAAAGUUAAAUGCUCCCUCUGAAAUACAUCUUUAUGAAAUAAACUUCCAAAUGCCACUAGCUCCUAAUUCCUCUGUGCUUCUGGUUCCCCCAGCCUUGUUGUCCUCCUCUGAUGUCUCCUCCUUUUGCUGCCACAGUCAGAGCAGGCUGGUGGAGGCGUUGGCCUGACUCUGCUGGGCAGGCAGGUGGGCUGACACAGACACUUCUUAGCCCCACUCCCAGCUCCCUUUUCCACACUCAUCACAGUGACAGGUUGAUCUGGUGUGGGUGGGCUGGGAGACAGCAGCACAGAUGGGAGACCCAGACAGCCCAUUCACGAGCACAGCAGUAGGGCAAGAAGCAAGAAGAUUCCUGAAGAGUGUUGAAACUGCAGGGGAACUGCAACCACAACUGGGAAACACGAGUGAACUUGCAUAAAUCACUCCACAUGCCACAUUUAUUCCUCUAGUGCUCACAGAAAUGGCAGAGCCUAGCUACCCUUUGGAGUUUAUUGGAUUGCUGCUGGGCUAACAAGAUUCAUGGGAAAAUUAAAAAUUGAUCAGAUGAGCUAAAAACAUUGUGUUCUGCUGGAAAAAAAGUUGGCUUUGAGUAAUUUUGCAAGUUGGAAAAGUAUUUUUUGAACCACACUUGACACUGCUGAACACAUAUUGUUUUGCAGCUGGAGUGGGGUGACAGGCAAUUGCUGCAUUCUUUAAAUGGAAGUGAAACAUUUCAGUUGCACACACUGGAAUCUUUCUUCAGGUUUACAGCUGGAAAACUCUUUGGUGAUUGUGGCUUUUCAUGGCAACUCAUAACAGAUUUAUUAUUCUUUUCUUUGACACCCUAACAAACUUCACAGGGAGAGAAAACCACACUCUACCGAGCUCUGGCUGCACACGCUUGGGGGCCAGGCAUUGUUCUGCAGGGAAGGCUGUAGUGUGUGCAGCUAAAACAAGGGCUACCCAAAGCCCAGUUGUGCAGCUGCCUGUUUAACCCAAACAGUCACAAUAACAGUCAAUAAUCAGAUCAACUGGAGCUGCUCCAGUCUCAAACAAUGACAUCUUGGAGUCUGGGUACAAGUGGCCCCACCAGGCACUGCCUACCUGCAUCAGGGUCUGGUGUUGCAAAGCAGAGCACACAUGGGCCCCAUUCAGCUGCCCAUGCAGAGGCACAGAGCACCAUUGAGGGUGUUCUGCAGGCACUGGACCAUCUGCAGGGCAGUGGUGGCUGUGACAGGGGGCCUGGGGCAGGUUCCUCGCCAUACAGAGCAGCUGGAAACCAGGUAGGCUGUGAAAUGGCAUCACCUUCCUUUGUUUAGGCAAGAACUCUAUACUGUCUUCACCUGCUUAAGGAGAAAAUAUUCUCCACCCAAACAUUACUGGGAGAAUGAGAUCAUGGCUGUGUUCAUACUCCUGCUUGUAGAGCUUCUCCCCACUGCUGAGGCAGUCAGGUGUGGUGGGUGGAUCUCAGCCCUUUCCUGACAUUAAGCACCAUGAUUAAACUGGACGUUUAAUGUAAGACCUCUAAACUCAGACCAAAGCUCUUGCAGGACCCCAACACCUCAACAUUCUAACAGCAGAAUUCAGUGGCUGACAACCUGAUCUCCCCCACACAAUGAGCCAAGGCUGGCUCAGGAGGAGAGAAAAAAAAUUGCAAAGUGCCUUGGGGUAAGAAGCACCAGCAGUCUUGGAACAUGCCCUGCAUUGGCCACCUGCCCCUGGGCUGAGGACAUGGAUGUCCCCAGAGGAAGUAGUACCCAGCAUGACAUUUACAAGGAUUUACAAUGAGAAAUUACAACAAGAAUUGUUUCUGGUAGAAAAAACUGAGCAUUAUUAGCAGUACAGUAAAAUAUCCUGUGAGUCUCUGAGGAUCAGAGCAGGGCGCAAGGGAGGCAGGGUGCUGGGUCCAUCAAACUGGUCCUUUUCUGUGAGGAAAAUUGGUUUUUAAAAUUAAGGCACUGACUUGCAUUUGCUCUCAUCUGAGUGACUUGCUGGGGUAGCUCAGUUUUGGUUUGAUCUGCUGGAAGGGACAAGCAAGUUGGGACAAGCUCUGCUCAGCCUUACUCAUCUGGCAUCUCGCUAUCACACUUCUCUCCUGGCUGGACCAGCUGUUCCCUACAAUCAGCCCUCUGAGAUAGCAAAACGUGCUGUUCCCAGUGUGUCCCUCCAGCCUCCAAACAGCCUCAUGCCUGCCACAAGUGAUGGAGGGAAGUCCCUGAGCAGGAUGUGCAUUCCCCUUGGGGCCUCUGAGACAUGCAAGGAAUUAUUGAAAGCAGAAAUGAAGUGAAACUUCUCAAAACUUGUCCUCAGCACUGGACACCCAGGGAGGCUUCAGUGUAGACCCAACCAUAAGGAGCCCAAACCUCACCAUGGUAUGGAUAUGGUAUCUGGGGGCUGACCUCCCUUUUGUCCUUCUCCUGUCCUCCUUUUCCCAGAAGGUGUGGGACAUCUGGCCCAGGUGGCCUUCUACCAAAGCAGCCAAAACCACCGGGAAGCUCAAAACCAAAGACACAGGCUGUGUCCUUUCCUGAGAAGCCUCCUGAAGAAAUGGGGCUCUGGCAAUGCCACUGGGAACCAAGGCAGACACACACUGCAAAUCACAAUGGUGGCAACAAGGAGAUGAAUCUCUAGGUUUCAGAUGGGUCUUGGCUUGUUUAGUCUAGAAAAGGAAGUUAAAAUGCCAAAAGAGGAUAAUCAUCCAACACGGAAAAGGUUGCUGUAGAGCUGGAGAUGGUCAGACACUGUCCCUCAGCUCCUGCCAGGAGAACAACAGAUAAUUGGUGUAAUAUCCAGCAAAAGUGUCACAAGUUAGACAAGUAACUAAAAGGAGAUUUAAACACCAGACAAUAAAAACAGAGAUUAAGUUACUGAAGAAAGCUUCAGACUCCUCAUCUAUAAAGGUUUCUAAUGACAGAUCAGACUAACUUUGCCCUAGAAUAGUAUGGAAACAUGCUGUACUUGAUGAAAGAAAUCUUCAUAAACUCUGGCCUCAUCUCAACCAGAAAUGCUGUUUUAGAGGCUGAACAUGGGCAAACAGAUUAACAAAAAUAAAAAAACAAAGUUGCUUGGAGAAAUCACUGCCCACAAGAGCAAGUCACUCUAUGAAAUAUGACAUCCCAACUUUUUUUUUUGCUUAUUUCCCAUCUACUGUAUUGCAGUUAUGUGUAUUGGUCAGCCACUCACCCUGUCUUUCUAUCCUCCCCCCUUUCCCAAGCCCUGGCCAUGCUUUCCCCCAGGGCUGCUACAUAUUUAAUAGGUAAUUUUAGUACAUGCAUCAUUAUGGCAUCUCCUCCCACCUAACUAAGCUGAAGUAAGUACCUGGUCAUGCUGUGAUGUGAACCUGUAGCUCCCAAGAGUGAGGGCAUGAGCUGCUGGGCUGCACAUUCCAAAUGACACAAUUUACUGAAACUUCAGGGCUAGACUGAUUUAUGGAUGCUUCCUGAAGCCUGCAGGUAAGGCAGUGACCUUGUGCUGGUAACAAAGGCCAGCUGAUCUUUUAAGGUGCUCAUACUGGAAACAGGUGGAUGAAAUCCAUCCUUACCCCAGCAGAAUAGCUGCAAGCACUGAACCUGUUUCAAAGUGGCAUCCAGUGACCUCCUGGUAGCCAAGUGCUGAACCAGAUGAAAAGGUCAAUAGCAUAUCAGCCAGAACAGCUGGAUCUAAUAGAAAAUGAGUCAAGAUGAUACAUAGCUGGCAUUGCAGAAAUAACAGAUGUCAUCUAGGUCAGUUGUACCAGCGUGUUGAUGUGCUGAAACAACUGAGAAGAGACUCACAUGACCACAGCAAAUCAUCCUCUUCCCAGCCACUGAAACUGAGCUGACCCACAGAUGUUGCACACAGAUUUUCUGGAGACCAGGUUUCGGCACAUGGCAGAUACAAGGCAGAUCCCAUGGCAAAGCGUGGUCUGGAGAAGGGCUGUGUGCAAUGAGGGAUACAGAGAUGGAGCAGAUUGCAAGGAGCAGCAGACUGGCACGUAGAGCACUACCUUGUAAAUGAGUAACCACUCCUUAUGGAGGUGUUUACAGUGGAGGCACAUGAAGAACUGGUGGUUGUUAGAAGGUUUUGAUGAAAUCACACAAAGCUGAUGAGUUCAAGCCUUGUGCCUGUCUGGAUGAGAACACCAGGAGGAGGGAUAUCCAUGGGAAAGCUCCUUGCAUCUCAAAGAAGGAAGGAGUAAAAGAGGGAGGGAGGGAG
Molecule: long non-coding RNA, 8127 nt
Organism: Passer domesticus (house sparrow)
Lineage: Eukaryota; Metazoa; Chordata; Aves; Passeriformes; Passeridae
Exons: 5
Source: RefSeq, a predicted model, not a curated record